Molecule: ribosomal RNA, 497 nt
Filed under: uncultured bacterium
Lineage: Bacteria
Description: partial 16S ribosomal RNA
Rfam family: Bacterial small subunit ribosomal RNA
Source: RNAcentral
GAUGAACGCUGGCGGCGUGCCUAAUACAUGCAAGUCGAGCGAACAGACGAGGAGCUUGCUCCUCUGACGUUAGCGGCGGACGGGUGAGUAACACGUGGAUAACCUACCUAUAAUACUGGGAUAACUUCGGGAAACCGGAGCUAAUACCGGAUAAUAUAUUGAACCGCAUGGUUCAAUAGUGAAAGACGGUUUUGCUGUCACUUUUAGAUGGAGUCGCGUCGCAUUAGCUAGUUGGUAAGGUAACGGCUUACCAAGGCAACGAUGCGUAGCCGACCUGAGAGGGUGAUCGGCCACACUGGAACUGAGACACGGUCCAGACUCCUACGGGAGGCAGCAGUAGGGAAUCUUCCGCAAUGGGCGAAAGCCUGACGGAGCAACGCCGCGUGAGUGAUGAAGGUCUUCGGAUCGUAAAACUCUGUUAUUAGGGAAGAACAAAUGUGUAAGUAACUAUGCACGUCUUGACGGUACCUAAUCAGAAAGCCACGGCUAACUACGUG